CGGACCGGCGCACGGGUGCGUAACGCGUAUGCAACCUACCUUUAACAGGGGGAUAACACUGAGAAAUUGGUACUAAUACCCCAUAAUAUCAUAGAAGGCAUCUUUUAUGGUUGAAAAUUCCGAUGGUUAGAGAUGGGCAUGCGUUAUAUUAGCUAGUUGGUGGGGUAACGGCUCACCAAGGCGACGAUACAUAGGGGGACUGAGAGGUUAACCCCCCACACUGGUACUGAGACACGGACCAG
Molecule: ribosomal RNA, 242 nt
Filed under: uncultured bacterium
Lineage: Bacteria
Description: partial 16S ribosomal RNA
Rfam family: Bacterial small subunit ribosomal RNA
Source: RNAcentral